This is a long non-coding RNA of Clupea harengus (Atlantic herring), 2620 nucleotides long. RefSeq lists it as uncharacterized. The transcript is spliced from 2 exons. The record is from RefSeq and is a predicted model, not a curated record. Lineage: Eukaryota; Metazoa; Chordata; Actinopteri; Clupeiformes; Clupeidae.
UCCGCUUUGGUCCACUAAAUGAGUGCUGCCGAGUGUCCUCUGAUCCUUAAGCACCUCCAUUUGGGCCGAGCUGAGCGGUGAAAACACCAUAGAUGACACGAGGACCAUCUGGUGAGUCAUUCUUGCUAUGGACAUAUAAAGUUACAUUUCUGUUGUUGUAUUACACUAAAUGUAACCUAUUAAUGUAUAACACUAAUUCUUUAUUAUAUAUAACAUUGGUUCUAGUGCAUGAAAUCUACACUGGCUGAUAUUUUAAAGAGCCCUGUGAUCCCUUGUGACAUUACAUACAUAAUUAAAUAACUACAUACCUGUUGCUGGUUGCCAUUGUGAAUUCAUUAAUUAAAUAUGUCAUGAAAUAUGUCAAAUUCAUCCAUCAAAGCUGGUGAUCAGAGUAUGUCACAAUCAGUCGAUGGUGAGAUUUUUUUUUCAGCAAAUUAGGUAAAGAGAUUUGUUUGUUGAGUUUGUUUGUUUGUUUGUUGAGUCAGAAAAUAACUGGAUAAUGUAAAUCCAUAAUAGAACUGAACUGAGUUUUAUUCAGGUGGACGACCCUCCCCUUUCUGCUCAAACAUUUAUGGUAGUGUAUGCAUGAAUACAAUCAAAAAGCAUCCAAUACUACGGUAGGCUACAGCCCACUUUAGCAUUUAGCGCUAACAUGAAACUUUGAAUGUGCAUUCAGAAUAUUAUCCACCAGUACAGGCUUGGAGUUAAAUGUGCCUGUAAUGUUAGUCACCAGAUACAUUCAAAACAAACCAACCCUAAUAUGUGUAAUCGGCGGAGCAAGAUAUUUCUUGAAAAAAAAAACACUCCCUUGAGUGAAAGAAAGAAGAAAGAAAUUGAACAAGAAAAGCAGAUAUUCGCAGUUUGAAGAAAGUCUUUCCACUGGUCACAAAAAGACAAAUGGUCACUCCUCCUGAAGAGUGUGUUUAGUGGGAGAGCUUUCUGCUGCACUGCACACCGUGCGGUCAUCAUCAUCUUCUGAUGUCGUGAAGUCUGCUGUCCUCGCUGCACAUGAGAUCUCUCCAGAAGAUUACACACACCAUGGUUGUGGAACCUGAAGGAGAGAGGAGACCAUACCCACAUACAAUAUUCUGGGGAAAAGGAAAUAGCUUUUGAUAGAUGCGUUCGUUUCUAAAACAUCCGUCAUGAUUAUGAGAAAUUGAGGUGAAAAACUAUCUAGAAGAUCCAAGCAAGGACAUGAAGAAAGCUGCUGCUGUGGCAGAUGAUUUUGAGCUCACUCAUUCAAAGCAGAGCAGGGUACUUGUAGACCUUGUAGAGGUGAUAUGGGAGUAGUUAAUUAAAAAAAAAAAAGUUUUUAAAUGUAUUUAAUAAUAAUUUAAUACAUUUUCAUUUAUUAAGUUUAAGUUUUGGUGGGGAAGUGUUCCUGUACACAUCUAUACACACAUUUCAUAAGUACAUUUACAUGCAUUUACAUUUUGUUUAUUUUAUAACAUUUAUUAAAACAGGUGUGACAUUUUCAAACAUCUUAGUCCUUGUAAAAAGAUCAAAAUAAUUUAAAUAAAACUGGGGGAAAAAACCUAAAGGCAUAAAGCCAGGCGGGCUCUCUGUGCAAGACUGAUGGGGGCCACGGGAGAAGGUAAGUCUCAUCUCUUUGGGGGUCUGUCAGGUGCCAGACGACCAUUUGAGUUCCGUUUGUGUUGUUUUGUUACGCACACACACCUUAGAUACUGCCACACUUUCUGUCCUUUCGAGAGCAUAGGUUUAACAAGCUGGCAGAGUAGCCUGGUAUGCAACAGUAUUUUGUUCCACCUAUGAAACAUAUUUGGUAUAACAGUGGCAUCUUUGGUAACACAGCCUUUUGAGUCAAUUAGUGAACCUAGCAUACAGCCAUCUUAUGUUUCUUUUCUUUCUCCAUAGACAGCUUGUCAGGAGCCGUGUCAAAUGUGUAUCAGUGUUGUUCUAUAUUUAAGAGCAGGCCCCUCCACCCUACAACAUAAAGCUGGAUCCAGGCGUGCUCCGCUCGCAAACACAUAUGACAACACAAGAGCCAAGUAUCCAGCUGAUAGCUAGCCCUGUUGACUGUAAGCAGUCACUCAUUACAGGGGUUUCCUAGUUCCUGCAGUCGAGAAAUAUCCCCACAGCAUCUGGGUGGUGUGAUACAACUUCCACCUCAUCCAUAUGGAUCCAGUGAUUGUCAACUGGACAUCAAAACCACUUGGAUCCACUUCUCACAUCGCACUUAGGCAUUUGAAUCACCUUGUCUCUUUAGGCUUCAUUCCCUGUUAUUCCCACCCUGGCACAUGACCCUUAUACAGACUGAUUUUUAGAUCCAGAGGGAGAUCUCUAAUUUAACCACUGAAAAGUACUGCCUAAUUAUCCAAUUCAAUUCAAUUUUAUUUAUAUAGCGCUAAAACAAUACAAGUGUCUCAAGGCGCUUUAUGAUCAGUUAUGGUCAACUAAUUGCCACCUUUUUUAUCAUUUGUGAUUAAUUUGCCAUCUGCCUUAAUCUAGAUCUCAAAAGUGUGGGCGUCUGAAUACUUAUGCAAGUAGUAUAUUUCAAUUUUGAAUGUAUUUAUUUUUAACAUUAGCAGAUAAAUCAGUUAUGUUGCCUUUGAAAUAUACUAGAGCAUAAAUAUUAAUAAUAAAAGUAUGGAUUGGAAAA